AGAGUUUGAUCCUGGCUCAGGAUGAACGCUGGCGGUAUGCUUAACACGUGCAAGUCGGACGGGAAGUGGUGUUUCCAGUGGCAGACGGGUGAGUAACGCGUAAGAACCUGCCCUUGGGAGGGGAACAAUAGCGGGAGAUGACUGCUAAUACCCCAUAGGCUGAGGAGAAAAAGGGGGAAUCUGCCCAAGGAGGGGCUCGCGUCUGAUUAGUUAGUUGGUGAGGCAAUGGCUUACCAAGGCGACGAUCAGUAGCUGGUCUGAGAGGAUGAUCAACCACGCUGGGACUGAGACAUGGCCCAGACUCCUACGGGAGGAAGCAGUGGGGAAUUUUCUGCAAUGGGCGACAGCCUGAUGGAGCAAUGCCGCGUGAAGGCAAAAGGCCCACGAGUCAUGAACUUCUUUUCUCGGAGAAGAAAAAUGACGGUCUCUGAGGAAUAAGCAUCAGCUAAAUCUGUGCCAGCAGCCGCGGUAAU
This 473-nucleotide ribosomal RNA is filed under the name uncultured bacterium. RNAcentral describes it as "bacterial SSU rRNA". It matches the Rfam family "Bacterial small subunit ribosomal RNA", at positions 8 to 524 of the family's 1533-position model. The record is from RNAcentral.